GGCUAUACGGGCCAAAGGUGUGUAUAUAAAUAAUUGAUAUUGACAUGGUGCCCUAAUUGAUGACUUAUGUCGCACAGCGACAGUCGAGAAGAAUUAAAUUCGGUUGUCAGUCCUCCUGAUGAGCCUUCCUGAAAAGUUGCUUCGUCGAAACCCGGAGCUGACAAGAUCACUGAAACCCCACCUGAUGUGGUGGAAGUUGUCGAACCAGCCCUUCGAGGACCACCUUCAUGCACGGACUGAGAAGGAUGUGGAGGUUUUUGACGUGGUAAAAAUAAUUGUCUGCUGUUCAUUUAUUUUCUGGCCCUCUCCAAGAGAUAUGUAAGAAAUGUAUUUGUAAUAUGAAAUAUAAUUGCAUUUAGUCCUGUUAUCAAUCAAUGUGAGACUGAACAUCGACAAGGCGCAGGAGAAACAGAAGGAGAGCUACCAGGGGAGAAUCAAGAAGGGGGGGGAAAAGUACUUCGACAUCCGGGCGAAUUACUCGGUUUGGAAGAAGGUCGAAAGGAAGGCGAGACUUGGGGAAACCUCGCUGCUUUUUCGUUCCUAACUGGAGUCACCACCCGUUAAGGGUUACCUCGGUGGAAGCUAACAAUCUUCUCCAGUUGGACGGUCGACCACUGAAAGCCCUGAUGCCCUACACUUCAGUGAAGCCCAUUAGAAAAGAUCAUCGACUGUCCGAGCCCCCCAGGAGGUAUCCCAUCCACCAGAGCCAGUGAGUUCAGAUCAGUCUGGUUCUCUGUGCUCUGAGUCGGAAGGGGACCAGCCUGAUGUCCUCCAUUACCAACCACUCUCCAACUUUUCAUUACAUCAUAUUCAGCUACUGUUAUUGUCAUGUUGUCAUUAUCUGCUAAGAAAGUUUUGUUGCUCUAUCAUGCUGGGCACAUAAUAUGUGCGAUACACAGAUUAACUAAAAACACUAGCACUGCAAACAUUCAGAACAAAGAGAGCAGCAGUGCCUGGCCUUUGCAGUUUCCCUCUUCAAGUCCCUCUUCUGAGACUGGCUGCCUGUUGUGAACAAGUGACAGGAAGAACCUCCCACCCACACAGCAACCACCUCCUUUAUAUUCCACACACCAUAAUUCUGUAUUUUAGUUUUGAUUGCCAUGAGUGUACAAAAUAAAAUUAAUGACACAACUGUA
Long non-coding RNA from Salmo salar (Atlantic salmon), 1136 nucleotides. RefSeq lists it as uncharacterized. The record is from RefSeq and is a predicted model, not a curated record. Lineage: Eukaryota; Metazoa; Chordata; Actinopteri; Salmoniformes; Salmonidae.